CUUGACUGUGAACUGAUCAAGUUGUAUCAAUAGUGUGUGUGUGUGUGUGUAUAUAUAUACACACACACACACACACACACACUAUUGAUACAACUUGAUCAGUAUAAA
Molecule: microRNA precursor, 108 nt
Filed under: Pelobates cultripes (western spadefoot toad)
Lineage: Eukaryota; Metazoa; Chordata; Amphibia; Anura; Pelobatidae
Source: RNAcentral